Molecule: non-coding RNA, 2603 nt
Organism: Zootermopsis nevadensis
Lineage: Eukaryota; Metazoa; Arthropoda; Insecta; Blattodea; Termopsidae
Source: RefSeq, a predicted model, not a curated record
AAUACAAUUAAAUGCAUCAAUUUAUUAAAAUAUAACUGAUGUGAAUUUUACACAUUAAAAAAGUCUAAAUGGUGAUACUUGAAGUCUGGCCCUUACAUCAAAGGUCACUUCCGUGUUGACGAACUAUUUAAAUAAAAAAUGUAAAUAUGCACACAAAUACUGUCCUGUACUCAUGUAUUAAAACAAAUAGCACCUAUAACCAGCUUACCAGGAUGCACGCAAAGGUCACUACUUAUAUAUAACCAAUAAAACUGCAUAUAACGAACAAAUUGUAUUUUUAUAUUGUAUAAGGACUGGACAAAUCUGAAAGUAGGUUAUAUAUGCAAACCCACAUGGAUAUAAAUAGCCUCUAUUGAAUGUGUUACACUGACAAGUACACAAAAACAACAGUCAAAUUCGGAAAUUAGGAAUACUGUCUCGUCGUCUAGUAUACAUUUACCUCCCAGUCUAUACAAUAUCAUUACUGUCGCCGCCAUUACUUUCAUGGGUGAAGGCACAAAUCACUCGGGUGUGUCCAACUGCUCCGUGUUCGGUUGAAUUCGCUUAUAUUUGGGCAGAAGUCAUAGCUUCAGAGGCCAACUCCAACGAGUGCCAUAAAUAUAAGAACUCAUUUUCGGAUAUUUCUUUGUAUUUAUAUUCUCUUUGCAUUUGAAUAUUUUCGGAUCCUCUUUGUAUUUAUAUUCUCUGUGCAUUUGAAUAUUCUCUGAAGACCAACCAUAUUAUCAGAAUAACGUGAGGAAGAUAUCACUGGUUUUCGGAUUAUUUGUGUGGCGUACGAAUUACAAUUCGAAAGUAACGGCUUCGUUGCAUGUUUAUUAUAGAUUCAUUUCCAGUGUCAGGUAUUGUAAUGGCAAGUAAUCAACAGGAAGUAAAUCAACAGUUACAAGUUUUUGUCUGAGUGAGAACCUAAGAAUCAGGAAAGGGAGAGCAUUUGAGGACAACCAGGCCGGAUGGUCUGCAGAAACUAACCUGAACAAGUGACAUAACACAUACACACUUCCCCUCAGUUUGGUCACAAGCUUCAUAUGACGCAGUUUGUCAAAUGUAAAUGAUGACUGCAGGUUUUCCAAGACAGAAAAAAUGCUGCCUGAGCUAAACGUAUGAUCCAGAAAUCCAUACAAUGGAACAGUGACCCUGUCCACAUAAAUGGUGGUGCUGGAAAACUUCAGUGGUGGUUUUACAAAGUUGCUCCAGCUCUAGACUGUUGCAAUGGACAUUCGAGUGGUUACGAAGUAUAUAGCCGACCCCACAAUGCACUCAAUGCCUGCAGCGACACCAUCGACAAACCAGAUGUGGCUGGCUUGUCAGAGUAUGGACAACAUUAUCAUAUUCUCAUCUUUGAAUCGCUUUGAGAUGAAUCACAAGAAGACCUUCAGUAGACAUGUGGUCGCUGGUUACGCUUGCACUCUUGACUUCUCGCCCGAUAUGAGGUGCGGUGCGGUGCGGUGUCGUGAGCUCCUGGCUAAAAGUUCUGCCAUGAAAAUAAGUUCAUAGCAAUAACGAGGAUAAAAGCUAAGAGGACUAAUAUUCAGGAGCUGACCUCAGUGAAAUUCUCAUUUGGUGUUUCUCUAGAGGUGGGGCAGUGAAAGUGAAACUAGUAUUAGUGAGAGAAAUAUGUAAUAAAUCACGUCAGUAGUAGCAGCAAAUUUAAAAGUUCCAUAUCUAAAGACUACCAUUUGUCGCUGACAAUGUUUAUGUUACGAUUGGACAAAAUAUUGACAAUAAUUAAUUCAUUUGAUAUUGCUUGUUGUAUGAGGCAUAUUUUUAUGUACAUAUCUAGAAUUGUUUGUAGUCCUGACUUCAGGAGAGAAGACGAUGGGACAUGGAGAGAACUGCGUAAAGACGAGGUUAAAAAUUUGUACUCCUCUCCCAAUAUUGUCAGAGCCAUGAUCAUCCAACUGUGCCGCACACUUUCAGAAGAUUUGUGCCACAAGGUGAUCACAAACGUACAUGUUCGUAGGAAGAGGUAAUGAGGCAGAAUCAUUCACCUGAACCUGCGUAGCAGCAGCAUAUUCCUUGCUGCACAGAUCACAUCUGUAGCGAGGCAGAGGACCUAUACUGUGAGUGAGCAUGUGUUUGUUCAGUGUCGACUUCCAAGCAAAGGACUGUCCGCAAGUAGAGCAAUGCAUGUCACCAUUUGAAGUAACAACAACAUAUGCUUCAUGGAUCUCAUUUCUGCACUGGGACAGAUAACAGGAAAAUAAUCAAACUGUAGAAAAGACGUAAUGAAGGGCUGUGGCCAUGUUGCGAGGGAACAGAGGAGAUGAGUUACUACAGUCUGUCCUGUCACUCUUGUUCCCUUCACUGCUGCCAACAGUUAUCCCUGUGCUACAAACUUUUAACUGUAAUGGGUCUGCUAGUGUUCCAUCAAGAUGUGUUGCCAUUUGACAGGAGCUUCCACAGUCACCCACUAUUACUACAUCUUGAUGACUUUGUUCAUGCUAAAAGAUAAAAGUGUAUUAAAUUCUUUAUUGUUUACUUUAUAAAGAACUAAAUGUUUGUUGUAUUGUCAUGCUAAUAUAAAAUGUAUGAGAUUAAGAUAUGAACAUAUAAAUAUUGUAAGAGCAGUUAUUUUGGAAGGAUAAAUCAAGUUUAAACUUUCA